This 490-nucleotide ribosomal RNA is filed under the name uncultured bacterium. RNAcentral's name for it is "partial 16S ribosomal RNA". It matches the Rfam family "Bacterial small subunit ribosomal RNA", at positions 30 to 507 of the family's 1533-position model. The record is from RNAcentral.
AUUGAACGCUGGCGGCAGGCCUAACACAUGCAAGUCGAACGGUAACAGGAAACAGCUUGCUGUUUCGCUGACGAGUGGCGGACGGGUGAGUAAUGUCUGGGAAACUGCCUGAUGGAGGGGGAUAACUACUGGAAACGGUAGCUAAUACCGCAUAACGUCGCAAGACCAAAGAGGGGGACCUUCGGGCCUCUUGCCAUCGGAUGUGCCCAGAUGGGAUUAGCUAGUAGGUGGGGUAACGGCUCACCUAGGCGACGAUCCCUAGCUGGUCUGAGAGGAUGACCAGCAACAAUGGAACUGAGACAGGGUCCAGACUCCUACGGGAGGCAGCAGUGGGGAAUAUUGCACAAUGGGCGCAAGCCUGAUGAAGCCAUGCCGCGUGGAUGAAGAAGGCCUUCGGGUUGUAAAGUACUUUCAGCGGGGAGGAAGGGAGUAAAGUUAAUACCUUGGCUCAUUGACGUUACCCGCAGAAGAAGCACCGGCUAACUCCGUG